RNAcentral lists this unclassified non-coding RNA (363 nucleotides) under soil metagenome. Its description in RNAcentral is "partial contains 5.8S ribosomal RNA, internal transcribed spacer 2, and large subunit ribosomal RNA". The stretch from base 1 to 121 matches the Rfam family "5.8S ribosomal RNA", at positions 35 to 154 of the family's 154-position model. The record is from RNAcentral.
GAUGAAGAACGUAGCGAAAUGCGAUAAGUAAUGCGAAUUGCAGAAUUCCAGUGAAUCAUCGAAUCUUUGAACGCACAUUGCGCCCGCCAGUAUUCUGGCGGGCAUGCCUGUUCGAGCGUCAUUUCAACCCUCAAGCUCUGUCUUGCGCUUGGUGUUGGGGAUCGGCCCUGCCCGCCAGCCCGGGCGGGCCGCCCCCGAAAUGAAUCGGCGGUCUCGUCGCAGCCUCCUCUGCGUAGUAAUUCAGUUAUCCUCGCACUUGGAGCGCGGCGCGGCCACUGCCCGUAAAACGCCCAACUUCUCAAGAGUUGACCUCGAAUCAGGUAGGAAUACCCGCUGAACUUAAGCAUAUCAAUAAGCGGAGGA